AGGAAUCUGCCUAUUAGUGGGGGACAACAUCUCGAAAGGGAUGCUAAUACCGCAUACGUCCUACGGGAGAAAGCAGGGGAUCACUUGUGACCUUGCGCUAAUAGAUGAGCCUAAGUCGGAUUAGCUAGUUGGUGGGGUAAAGGCCUACCAAGGCGACGAUCUGUAGCGGGUCUGAGAGGAUGAUCCGCCACACUGGGACUGAGACACGGCCCAGACUCCUACGGGAGGCAGCAGUGGGGAAUAUUGGACAAUGGGGGGAACCCUGAUCCAGCCAUGCCGCGUGUGUGAAGAAGGCCUUAUGGUUGUAAAGCACUUUAAGCGAGGAGGAGGCUCUUUUGGUUAAUACCCAGAAUGAGUGGACGUUACUCGCAGAAUAAGCACCGGCUAACUCUGUGCCAGCAGCCGCGGUAAUACAGAGGGUGCAAGCGUUAAUCGGAUUUACUGGGCGUAAAGCGCGCGUAGGCGGCCAAUUAAGUCAAAUGUGAAAUCCCCGAGCUUAACUUGGGAAUUGCAUUCGAUACUGGUUGGCUAGAGUGUGGGAGAGGAUGGUAGAAUUCCAGGU
RNAcentral lists this ribosomal RNA (562 nucleotides) under uncultured bacterium. Its description in RNAcentral is "bacterial SSU rRNA". It matches the Rfam family "Bacterial small subunit ribosomal RNA", at positions 119 to 674 of the family's 1533-position model. The record is from RNAcentral.